Molecule: long non-coding RNA, 176 nt
Organism: Eufriesea mexicana
Lineage: Eukaryota; Metazoa; Arthropoda; Insecta; Hymenoptera; Apidae
Exons: 3
Source: RefSeq, a predicted model, not a curated record
GCUCUUCUUCUUUCUCGUUCCUUUUCUCGCUACACUACGCAUCGUCUCCCUUUGGUCGGAUCUAGUGUAUUUGCCCCAGAUGUGAAGCAUAAAGACAGAUGCAAUAAAAAGAAGAGACAUAACAAGCACAGUAUAUUACAUCUACUUACACUUUGAUGCCAGGAGAAUCAUCGGUA